Long non-coding RNA from Eptesicus fuscus (big brown bat), 653 nucleotides. RefSeq lists it as uncharacterized. The transcript is spliced from 2 exons. The record is from RefSeq and is a predicted model, not a curated record. NCBI's taxonomy places the organism in Eukaryota, Metazoa, Chordata, Mammalia, Chiroptera, Vespertilionidae.
UUCUCCUGUUUUAAAGGUCGCUAGUGUACGCAGAUUUGUGAAGGCCUGCAGUUAGCAGAAUGAGUCUGUGAUGAUUGAAAAGAACCGUCUCACUGACCCAGCCACUGAUAGAAGCCGCUCAUUUCCCCUGAAGUAACCUGUUGUUUUCUUUGCUCUGAAGAUGCCGGUUUCAGUGUCUGCGAUAUUACAUCCUUGAGUCUUGCUAGGCUUGAAACUGAGUGCUUCGAGCAAGUGGAUACCUUUCCUUCUUCUGGAAGGCAGGGCAACAGUGAGAUUACGCCAGAACAUUACCCUUUCUGCCAGGCUGCAUCAUAGCACUGAGAGGCAGCUGGUCAAGUGAACAAAACACGGCUAAUCAUGGAGGAGCUGGAUUAAACAUUUGCUUUAUCUUUUUAUAUCUUGACACCACAAUAUGGAGAUAGGUUACUUCCUUACACGACUCGCCACCUGCUUUGUCAUUGUUGCUUUCCUUGACUACCUUCUCCAAGAGAUUACAGACUUCGUGAGGACCGUUUUCCUCAUCAUUGCAUCCUUCAUACAAUAAAACAUUUUGGAAGAAAUGAAUAGAGAAAGUCAAUGCAGAAAGGUCUUCUGUUCUGUAUUAUAAGAAUAGUGAAUUCUUAUCAGGUUAAUAAAAUGUGGGUUGAAUUGCU